RNAcentral lists this ribosomal RNA (547 nucleotides) under Abrus precatorius (Indian licorice). RNAcentral describes it as "eukaryotic LSU rRNA". The stretch from base 166 to 321 matches the Rfam family "5.8S ribosomal RNA". Lineage: Eukaryota; Viridiplantae; Streptophyta; Magnoliopsida; Fabales; Fabaceae. The record is from RNAcentral.
CUGUCUCUCUUGUGUCAGGAAGUGUGAUAAUGCCAUGAAAUAUUGCAUGAUGGCCAACCUCAAACCCCGGCGCAUUGUGCUUCAAGGAAUUUGAAACAUAUGCACAUGCCCGUGGAACCGGGGUCGGUGCUCCCACGGGUGUUGUCAUGAAAUUUUAUACUAAAUGACUCUCGGCAACGGAUAUCUCGGCUCUUGCAUCGAUGAAGAACGUAGCGAAAUGCGAUACUUGGUGUGAAUUGCAGAAUCCCGUGAACCAUCGAGUCUUUGAACGCAAGUUGCGCCUGAAGCCAUUAGGCUGAGGGCACGCCUGCCUGGGUGUCACACAUUUGUUGCCCCAUGCCAACACUCACAGGGUGUUGAUAUGGAGUAAGCGCUGGCCUCCCACGAGCCUCGACUCGUGGUUGGCUGAAAAGUGAGUCUGUGGUGAAGGACACCGUGACAAAUGGUGGUUGAGUAAUGCUCUAGGCCAAUCAUGCGUGGCUUCACUAGACAAAGGCUCUGACCCUGUGUGUGUUGAAACGAACGCUCUCACUAGACCUCAGUCAGG